GAGAUCGGAUCCUGGGGUCUGACAUGUUUUGUUCAGUCUCAACUUUGCUGCCUAUAAGUUUGUAACUUUAUAUGAGCAUCUAAUCAUUCUCUGCCUCAUUUUACAAUCUUCAAAAUAGUACCCGUGACUGAUUGAUCACUCAGUGAAGACUGAGAACUGUGGAAAUUAAUUCAUUGUAUAUCUACAGCACCUCAAUAAGAAUCAUAACUGAAGAGAGCACAAAUUGCUGCAUGUCACUGUACAGGAAGAGAAACGGCAGCUGAUGAGGCUGGAGAACGAUCCUUGGAUCUGGAUGUUGUGCAGUGUGGCAUCUGGACGCUGGCAAACCUACGCUUUAAUUCCAGCUCUUCCACAUACUAGGUUUCAUGGAAGCAGGAAAUAUGGCAGAACAGCUCUGGAUAUACCACUUUGCUGAGCCAGGGCAUGGAGAUACAGCACAGUACAUGAAGAUGGAAGGAAUUCCACAUGGAAGGAGAAAAGUGGGCCACAUUGAACUGUUUAAACUUUUGACUGACUUCGAAUUUAUGCAUUUCCAUGGACUUACAGCUCACCAUAUUUUAAUAUACUACACAGCAUCUUACAAAGAAUUACCGAUAGGCAUAUCAUCAUGAUUAUUUAGAGAAUUGGAAAGAAUUUUUUUCACAAAGGGGUCAUUUACCCUUAGACAAAAUUAGCAUUUAAAUUUGUUGCUUACAAUAUUUGGUUUGUUAUUAU
This is a long non-coding RNA of Heterocephalus glaber (naked mole-rat), 714 nucleotides long. RefSeq lists it as uncharacterized. NCBI's taxonomy places the organism in Eukaryota, Metazoa, Chordata, Mammalia, Rodentia, Bathyergidae. The record is from RefSeq and is a predicted model, not a curated record.